Molecule: ribosomal RNA, 492 nt
Filed under: uncultured bacterium
Lineage: Bacteria
Description: partial 16S ribosomal RNA
Rfam family: Bacterial small subunit ribosomal RNA
Source: RNAcentral
AGUGAACGCUGGCGGUAGGCCUAACACAUGCCAGUCGAACGGCAGCACAGUAAGAGCUUGCUCUUACGGGUGGCGAGUGGCGGACGGGUGAGGAAUACAUCGGAAUCUACUUUUUCGGGGGGGAUAACGUAGGGAAACUUACGCUAAUACCGCAUACGACCUACGGGUGAAAGCAGGGGAUCUUCGGACCUUGCGCGAUUGAAUGAGCCGAUGUCGGAUUAGCUAGUUGGCGGGGUAAAGGCCCACCAAGGCGACGAUCCGUAGCUGGUCUGGGAGGAUGAUCAGCCACACUGGAAGUGAGACACGGUCAAGACUCCUACGGGAGGCAGCAGUGGGGAAUAUUGGACAAUGGGCGCAAGCCUGAUCCAGCCAUACCGCGUGGGUGAAGAAGGCCUUCGGGUUGUAAAGCCCUUUUGUUGGGAAAGAAAAGCAGCAGGUUAAUACCCCGCUGUUCUGACGGUACCCAAAGAAUAAGCACCGGCUAACUUCGUG